Molecule: ribosomal RNA, 1284 nt
Filed under: metagenome
Description: bacterial LSU rRNA
Rfam family: Archaeal large subunit ribosomal RNA
Source: RNAcentral
CUCUGAUUCCAGGAGCCCGUGAAAAGGGUGAUACGGUCCGUACCGAGAACUGACACAGGUGCCCCUCGCUAAGAAGGCGAAGGCGUGUCGGGAGUAAAUGUGUUAAGGGAACUCGGCAAAUUAGCCCUGUAACUUUGGGAUAAGGGGUGCCUGCCCAGCGAUUGGGCAGGUCGCAGUGACAAGAUCGCUCCGACUGUCUAAUAACAACAUAGCAGACUGCAACUCCGAAAGGACUCGUAUAGUCUGUGAUUCCUGCCCAGUGCGAGUAUCUGAACACCGGGUUCAACCGGACGAAGGACUCGUAAACGGCGGGGGUAACUAUGACCCUCUUAAGGUAGCGUAGUACCUUGUCGCUUAAUUGGCGACUUGCAUGAAUGGAAUAACGAGAGCGAUACUGUCCCUAACACAUACCCGUUGAACCUUUUGUACUAGUGCAGAGACUAGUGACUCCUUAUGGGAAGUGAAGACCCCGUGGAGCUUUACUGCAGCCUGUCGUUGGGUUACGGUAUUACCUGCGCAGGGUAGAUGGGAGACGUCGAUCCAACCCUUGUGGGGGUUGGUUAGUCAACGAUGAGACACCAACCUGGUUUUAUUGUAAUUCUAACUGAUUUAUCAGGACAUCGAUAGGUAGGCAGUUUGGGUGGGGCGCCACACCCUCGAAAAAAAAUAUCAAGGGUGCCCUAAGGUCAACUCAAGCGGGUCAGAAACCCGCUGAAGAGUGUCAAGAGCAAAAGUUGGCCUGACGCGAUUUCGCAUAGCAAGAAAUCGCGAGAGGAAACUCGGGUCUAACGAACCAAUACGCCCUGUUGAUGAGGGCUAUUGACUACAGAAAAGCUACCCCGGGGAUAACAGAGUCGUCGCCGGCAAGAGCACAUAUCGACCCGGCGGCUUGCUACCUCGAUGUCGGUUCUCUCCAUCCUGGCUGUGCAGCAGCAGCCAAGGGUGAGGUUGUUCGCCUAUUAAAGGGGAUCGUGAGCUGGGUUUAGACCGUCGUGAGACAGGUCGGUUACUAUCUAUAAGGAGUGUUGGAAGUCUGAAGGCAAGAAUGAAAUAGUACGAGAGGAACUUUCAUUCGGCGCCACUGGUCUACCGGUUGUCUGACAAGGCACCGCCGGGCAGCUACGCGCCAAGAGAUAAAAGCUGAAAGCAUCUAAGCUUGAAACUCAGCCUGAACAAGAGACUUCAUUAAAGACACGGGUAAAAGACCCGGUUGAUAGGUUCGGGAUGUACGCACGAAGGCAACGACGUGUUCAGUCCGCGAAUACUAAUUGUCUUAAUAACGUU